UACUNUAGCACAUUAGUCUAAUAGUUAGGUGAAAGAGGGAUAUGGAAGUAUGAAGUGUUUGUAAAUGUUUAUAUGCAUUUGGCAGAGUGAAUGACAAUUGACUGAGAUUGUUCUCAAAGAAUUGAUUGAUAUUUAAAAUAUUUUAUCCUAAAGAUAAGAUUAUUAAAUCUGCCUAAAAUCGGUUCCAGAUUUGGAAAUAAACAGCCAACCUCAGUUUCACCAUUAUUGUUAGACCUGCUACUAGUAACAGAUGUUUUAUGCUGUGAUAUGGUGUAUUUGGGGCUUUAUGAUUAUAAAUACUUCUAUUUACCUCUUUGGUGUAAGAAGGAUGUCCUAAGUUAGUUAUUCAACUAUUGUUAUUUCAUACCGAUUGGUAGUUGUCCAUAAAGGUAGGUUGUUGUAUUCUUUGCAGCUAAAUGUAGAUCAAAUUCUAAUUACAGAAGUUCAUUGCACAUGUUCUUUGACCACACAUGUCUCCUCUUUUUCUUAAACCUUCCCAUUCUAUUUUGUGCAGUCUUCCCCUCCUCUUUCUCUUUGUUUCUAUUUCUUGCUACCCCUCUUUGUCGUGGUUCAGUGGAAGUUAUUCUAUUCUUUUUUUUUUUUCAGUUUUAGUAUAAUUAGAGUUAUCUGAAGUUAAUAAUUCUAGAUGGUUUCUUAGUCAUAGCUUCAUUUAGAACUCAAAUGAAUUUGUAUGUAAGUUCAGUAAUUAAAGACUGUUUGAUCUUGCUUAACUAGAGUGGCUAAACUUGUUUUUUGUGACUUCCAUAUAGCUCCUGAAGUGGUUAAGAAGGCUGGGAUAGCUCAUUCAGAAGGCUUAAAUUUUUGUACACUCAAGCAAGGGAUCUAUAGGAAAGUGAAGCAAGGUAUAUUUAGUUGGGACUUUUCCCCUUAUCUUUUUUUCUUUGUUCCAUGUGUGUAUGUUUUUCGCCCCUCAUCAAUCUGUGCUUUUAUCUGAGUUUGAUGUUAAUGUUCAAUGAUAUUAUGAUGUCAGACUCUGACUUUUUAUGUGAUAUGUAACUCAACCAUGUUAUCUGAUGCCAAG
Molecule: long non-coding RNA, 1042 nt
Filed under: Vigna radiata
Lineage: Eukaryota; Viridiplantae; Streptophyta; Magnoliopsida; Fabales; Fabaceae
Description: long non-coding RNA (VRAD_LNC008069)
Source: RNAcentral